AGCAGCCGCGGUAAUUCCAGCUCCAAUAGCGUAUAUUAAAGUUGCUGCAGUUAAAAAGCUCGUAGUUGAAUUUCGGGAUCAAUAUGUUGGUCGUGCCUCGGUACGUACUAGCUUAUUGGUUUCUCCCUUCUGACGAACCAUGAUGUCAUUUAUUUGGUGUUAUGGGAAAUCAGGACUGUUACUUUGAAAAAAUUAGAGUGUUUAAAGCAGGCUCACGCUUGAAUACAUUAGCAUGGAAUAAUGAAAUAGGACGUUUGAUUCUAUUUUGUUGGUUUCUAGGAUCGACGUAAUGAUUAAUAGGGAUAGUUGGGGGCAUUAGUAUUCAAUUGUCAGAGGUGAAAUUCUUGGAUUUAUUGAAGACUAACUACCGCGAAAGCAUUUGCCAAGGAUGUUUUCAUUAAUCAAGAACGAAAGUUAGGGGAUCGAAGACGAUCAGAUACCGUCGUAGUCUUAACCAUAAACUAUGCCGACUAGGGAUCGGAUGAUGUUAAUUUUUU
Molecule: unclassified non-coding RNA, 497 nt
Filed under: uncultured Glomus
Lineage: Eukaryota; Fungi; Glomeromycota; Glomeromycetes; Glomerales; Glomeraceae
Description: SSU rRNA
Rfam family: Eukaryotic small subunit ribosomal RNA
Source: RNAcentral